UGGCAGGCCCACACCCCGCGAAACGGCGUUGCGCUCUUGAGUUGGACCGCUGGUCCUUUUGUAACAUCGUACUGCUAGAGAUUAGCUGAAGCCUGAGAGAGUGGUGGAUUGCUCCGGGAGGAACCGGUUGCGGCGUCGGCGGCGAUGGAGGCCUGCAGGAUCGACGAUUUCCCUACGGAUCUGGUUGCCAAUCUUCCAGGGGGCACCGCGGCCCGUAGAUCCCCGUCGAGAUAUGGGGAGCGAUAUUGGGAGCAGAGAUGGGGAUGUGCUACGGGAUUCAUCCGUGGCCGCGCACAACAACGGCGCGGAGUCCGACGACGACGGGAGCAAGGAAAAUGGUCCAGCGGAGUCUGGGAGUCGACCAUCAACCGGGAUAUGCGGUCGCCCGGCUGAAUUAAGAGAAUGGGAUUGUUGCGGAUCUGCGGUUGUGUGUUCUCUUCAACUGCCACACAGAUAAAAAGAUUUCAGUUAGGGGUGCUUUAUCGUUCUCCAUGCCCGGCUGGGUGGCUGGUGUGGAGGAGGUUGCUGGUGGUUUGGCAUGCCUUCUGCUACCUAGGUUCAUCAUGGUGCGGUCAGUCUGACCGUUCAACUUUUUUGUUUUGGAUUUACUAGAGGAGAUUACUGGAUCAAAAUGUGUGUUGGAACAAAAAAAUGUGAGACAAUCAAAAGUGUUUGGGUCCAAAUUUGUGUCUGAAUCUAUGGGUGCGUUAUCUUUCACGCAGAGUUCAUGUAGGCGCUAAUCCUACCGAAAGAAUGCCGCCUAGGUAGGACGGGAGCCCUCAAAAAAUCAAUAAGGGGCUUUGCGGAGCGAGACGAAGAUGAGGUUAGGCACCACAGCUUCGAAUGGGUUUUCAUGGAAUUUGUCAGGAUGAUGGGAGGUGUGGCACCGAAAGACCAUAUUGACAGAUCAGUGCAGAGCUAUGGAGGUAGAAAUAAGAAGCACACUACCGGAUACAGUGCAUCAAUGGUGUAAGUGGCACGUCGUGAAGAAGUCUAAAGAAAGUUUGGGGGCUCUGUACGGGAAGAGAAAUGAAUUUAGGCAAGAGGUUCAUAGAGUGGUUAACCACAUGCUAAUAGUGGACGAGUUUGAGAAAGCGUGGGAUCACCUACUAGAGAAGUAGUACAACUUGAGGACACACGCAUACAUGGCGCAACUCUUUGAGACAAGGGAGAAGUGGGCUAAGCCAUAUUUGAAGGGUGUUUUCUGUGCAAAGAUGAACAGUACCCAAAGGAGUGAAAGUGUGAACCAUAUGCUUAUGAACUAUGUGCCACCCGGCUCUCCGAUGUAUACAUUUUUUAGGCAGUACAUGAGGUUGCAGUUUGAGCGCCAAUCGAAUGAGACUUAUGAAGUGAAGAGAACUAAAACCGCAGGUGUAGUCCUAGGGACAAAUUCCUCGAUUGAGAUACAUGCCAGCAAGGAGUACACCCGUGCGACGUUCGAGCAGUUUGAAAUCCUAUACGAUUGGCGAACCGUAGGGAAAAAUGGAGCAGGGACGUAUGCCUAGCAAAAAUGAUUGACGGCGGAGCACGUUUUGAGAGAAAAUGUGUCCUCUUUGAACAUAUGGGGAUGCUCUGUCGUACCCACAUGUACUAUUCUCUCUGCAAACUAAUUGGUUUUGGCUGGCUAACCAACGUAAGGUGUACUUGCAGGUCAUGGAUAAUAUUGGAUGACAGAAAAUACAAAGAGACACGUAGUGAAAAGGCGGACAAAAUAUCCAAGAGAUAUUUUGCCGGAUCACUUGAAGCACUACCGGCUGGACCAGAUCAACAACACAUCCCUAACUUUUUGGCACAAUCGAAUGUACAUUAGGGUGUUGGAACUGGUUCGACUUGGAGACGCAAGUGUUGAGGCAUAUGAAACUCUGAUUGGGGCUUUUAGACCAGGCCAUGCCGGUGAUGGACCCUUUUGACAAAUGUCGUGACAGGCUAGGGCUUGGAAGACUGGAUAACAACAAUGUGGCAGAUACCGACGGGGAGCGAGCUGGGAGAAGUGUAUGUGAAGACGACGGAAUGUCAUGCAACAUGAAGUUUUGGAUUAGUGGCACCAAACAAGAACGGAAACGCUGGCAGAUCAGCAAUGCCUGAAACAAGGCGCCGUACGAGGGGAUGACCAAGAGAAGUAGGUUUUGCAGCAUUUGCAAAUCCCAGUGCCACAAAAGAACAACUUCACUGGAGAGAGGGGAUAUUCCUCAACCGAGGAAGAAAUCCAAAUGCAGUAAAUGCAGUGGUGAAGGGCACAGGAAGAAUACUUGCGAACGGCAAGCAAGGGAGAUGAAGUGAGUUGAAAGCUGGUAGUGUCAAGUGUGCUACUUAAGUUUUUAGUUUGAAACCGACGUGUGGCUGUGUUUCAGCUUGUGGUUAUGGUGUUUUUUUCUUCUUCUAAUUGUGCUAUAGGAAACUGACAUGUCAAACUGGUAGCUCUUUGAUGUUGUAAUGCUAGUAACUGCUCGUUCUUGUAGGCUGGUGCCGUGUCUGCAGCAUGGAUGGUUAGUGUAGCUUGUAGCCUAUGAAUUCAAAGUUUGAAUGAUCAAAACUGUUGGACUGGUGAAGUCCCCAGCGCAAUAAAUUUCUCUAUUCUGGCUUC
This is a long non-coding RNA of Triticum aestivum (bread wheat), 2584 nucleotides long. RefSeq lists it as uncharacterized. The record is from RefSeq and is a predicted model, not a curated record. The transcript has 5 exons. Lineage: Eukaryota; Viridiplantae; Streptophyta; Magnoliopsida; Poales; Poaceae.